UUUCAAUCAGAGUCUCAAACAAAACGUACACCUCUGGACUGAGCGGAUAUCAAACGUGUGUGUGUGUGUGUGAGAGACGCACCAGAGCAGGAAUCACCAGUUUGACAGGCACGGCUGACGAGUAUCUCCGGGAUUUCCUCACGGCAAACUUCUCCGUAGGGAUGGACUUCCCGGCCAGACGCUGCUUCAGUCCCUCCACCUGCCUGCGGCACACCAGAGAGAGCCGCGGACCAUCAGCCUCAGCAAACGCCGAGGAAUCUCACGAGAGACGCGGCAGACUCACCUGAACAACUCCACGAUACUCUCUCCGGUCGUCUUCACGUCCUGCUCGGACAUCAUGCUCAGGAUAGCAGCUUUCUGAUACACGUAGAUGGCCUGAGAGAGGAGAAACAGCUGAUCAUCGUACUGUACGCGCUCAAAAUACCUUCGAAAUCUCACUUGUUACCAUCAAUGACUUAAAAAAACAGGACCAGCGGCUCUCUCGGCACAGCAGGUCAGCGUAUCGGUACGCUUCCAUCCACUGCUGCUGGAACGAGUGACACCACAUCAGCUCCCAGUAGCACAGAUGAUGGACCUGACGCCACUGCUGCUGGGUCGCGAUACACUCCUGAAACUUCACCGCUGCCUGAGAGAUUCACAGCCGUUACAACACAAGACACGGAUCGCAUCUGAUGCCCAGUUCUCCUGGUCAGGUGUGUUUGUGUGGUGCAGUGGUUACCCAGGAUGAGAGAGACGUAAGUGUGGUAGAAGAGCAGCGUCAGGACACACAGGAUUGAUCUGAGACUGUGACUGCCGGCGCCGUCCCGCAGCUGCGACAGACCGAACUCCUGCAGGACAGACACCGUUAGUUCAACUCAUUCCGUCUGAACAGCUUAAUUUCCCAUCAGCAGCUACUCACUCGAUUCCCUGAGAAGCCGAUGAACUCCAGCAGUCGAAGGAUUCGUGCAGGUUGAAGGAGCCAAUCCCCAGCUUGACUCCGCCCUCAAACUGUCUGAAGGCCUCGCUGUCUCCGCCCACUCCCUGAGACAUGUUCAACACAUUCUGGCAGUCCCUAAACACACACACACACACACACACACACACACUUCAGC
Long non-coding RNA from Megalobrama amblycephala (Wuchang bream), 1091 nucleotides. RefSeq lists it as uncharacterized. The record is from RefSeq and is a predicted model, not a curated record. The transcript is spliced from 5 exons. Lineage: Eukaryota; Metazoa; Chordata; Actinopteri; Cypriniformes; Xenocyprididae.